Molecule: ribosomal RNA, 257 nt
Filed under: uncultured bacterium
Lineage: Bacteria
Description: partial 16S ribosomal RNA
Rfam family: Bacterial small subunit ribosomal RNA
Source: RNAcentral
UACGUAGGGGGCAAGCGUUGUCCGGAUUUAUUGGGCGUAAAGAGCGUGUAGGCGGCCAAGCAGGUCAGCUGUGAAAACUCGAGGCUCAACCUCGAGACGUCGGUUGAAACCGCUUGGCUAGAGUCCGGAAGAGGAGAGUGGAAUUCCCGGUGUAGCGGUGAAAUGCGCAGAUAUCGGGAAGAACACCCGUGGCGAAGGCGGCUCUCUGGGACGGUACUGGACGCUGAGACGCGAAAAGCGUGGGGGAGCGAACAGGG